This 270-nucleotide unclassified non-coding RNA is filed under the name Bombus terrestris (buff-tailed bumblebee). Its description in RNAcentral is "misc RNA ENSBTSG00005035445.1". The record is from RNAcentral. Lineage: Eukaryota; Metazoa; Arthropoda; Insecta; Hymenoptera; Apidae.
CAUCGAUCGAAAUGAAAUUGAAAAGCGUCAGUGACGACAAACACAAGGACGAACGUAGACACUCGGAGGAACGAGGUCCCAGUGAAGUUGAAGUUUCGAAAAUAAUCGCGAUAAUUCGGGAAUUGGCGUUAUUCAGAGACGAAAAAGACGUGGAUCUGGACGUUGAUGUUUCUAUAAAACACUGGCAACCGCUUUAAAAACGCUGUUAACGUCGAUCCGGAAUGACCACCGUCGCGUUUGUAGUAUUUUUACACCAGCCUCGAGAAUACU